RNAcentral lists this transfer RNA (215 nucleotides) under Candidatus Aenigmatarchaeota archaeon. RNAcentral describes it as "tRNA-Arg". The record is from RNAcentral. Lineage: Archaea; Nanobdellati; Candidatus Aenigmatarchaeota.
GGGUCCGUGGCUCAGCUUGGGCGCCUUUUUGCACACGUCCGUGCAAAAACCCGCGGGAAUGCACGGAACAAAGUUCCGGCACAUUGGGAGAGCACUCCCGAAUGAAAUCCGCUCCCGCAAGGCGGGGUAAAUAGAGCGCUUGGCUUCGAACCAAGAUGUCGAGGGUUCGAAUUAGAAACGCCGGGCGUUUCAUGAACGUCCCUCCGGGCCCGCCA